RNAcentral lists this ribosomal RNA (449 nucleotides) under uncultured bacterium. Its description in RNAcentral is "bacterial SSU rRNA". It matches the Rfam family "Bacterial small subunit ribosomal RNA", at positions 329 to 795 of the family's 1533-position model. The record is from RNAcentral.
UUCCAGACCCCUACGGGAGGCAGCAGUGGGGAAUAUUGCACAAUGGGGGAAACCCUGAUGCAGCGACGCCGCGUGAGUGAAGAAGUAUUUCGGUAUGUAAAGCUCUAUCAGCAGGGAAGAAAAUGACGGUACCUGACUAAGAAGCCCCGGCUAACUACGUGCCAGCAGCCGCGGUAAUACGUAGGGGGCAAGCGUUAUCCGGAUUUACUGGGUGUAAAGGGAGCGUAGACGGCAUGGCAAGUCAGAUGUGAAAGCCCGGGGCUCAACCCCGGGACUGCAUUUGAAACUGUCAGGCUGGAGUGCAGGAGAGGUAAGUGGAAUUCCUAGUGUAGCGGUGAAAUGCGUAGAUAUUAGGAGGAACACCAGUGGCGAAGGCGGCUUACUGGACUGUAACUGACGUUGAGGCUCGAAAGCGUGGGGAGCAAACAGGAUUAGAUACCCCAGUAGAC